This 430-nucleotide ribosomal RNA is filed under the name Bacillus thuringiensis. RNAcentral describes it as "bacterial SSU rRNA". It matches the Rfam family "Bacterial small subunit ribosomal RNA", at positions 70 to 483 of the family's 1533-position model. The record is from RNAcentral. Lineage: Bacteria; Bacillati; Bacillota; Bacilli; Caryophanales; Bacillaceae.
GAUUAAGAGCUUGCUCUUAUGAAGUUAGCGGCGGACGGGUGAGUAACACGUGGGUAACCUGCCCAUAAGACUGGGAUAACUCCGGGAAACCGGGGCUAAUACCGGAUAACAUUUUGAACCGCAUGGUUCGAAAUUGAAAGGCGGCUUCGGCUGUCACUUAUGGAUGGACCCGCGUCGCAUUAGCUAGUUGGUGAGGUAACGGCUCACCAAGGCAACGAUGCGUAGCCGACCUGAGAGGGUGAUCGGCCACACUGGGACUGAGACACGGCCCAGACUCCUACGGGAGGCAGCAGUAGGGAAUCUUCCGCAAUGGACGAAAGUCUGACGGAGCAACGCCGCGUGAGUGAUGAAGGCUUUCGGGUCGUAAAACUCUGUUGUUAGGGAAGAACAAGUGCUAGUUGAAUAAGCUGGCACCUUGACGGUACCUAAC